RNAcentral lists this long non-coding RNA (631 nucleotides) under Heterocephalus glaber (naked mole-rat). RNAcentral describes it as "lncRNA (ENSHGLG00100046968.1)". Lineage: Eukaryota; Metazoa; Chordata; Mammalia; Rodentia; Bathyergidae. The record is from RNAcentral.
GUGGGUAGCUGAACAGGGUUAGGGCGGUGCUCCGCAGAGGCUUCUGGGAAACAUAGUUCAGCCCUCAGCAGCAAUUCCGGGACAGAAGGGCGGAGCCCUGCCUGCGCAGGUGCAGACCUUCACUUUCUUCGCCGCUUUGCUUUCUGGGAAGUGCAGUCCUACAAACAAAAAUACCGCAGCCCUCAGACUUGUGGGAAUUGAGCCCCGCGGUUUCCAGGGCAACGCGCAAGCGCAGUUCGGACAGGGUUGCAGAUUCCUGCUCAUUGUGUACUGACUGCGAUGUGGUGGUGGCCGCGGUCUCUCGCCGCCGGUAGAGGCUCCUGGAAGGGUGACCUAGCGGUGACCAAACACGGUGGCCAAAGCCGCAAAGGGAGAGCGGCAGUGGUGUGUGGCCGCUUCUAGCCUGAAGAAUCCCGAGCUUGCUUACGCCCCUCGCCGGCCUCCGCAGCACUUCGCCUGUCCCUAAGAGGAAGCAUCAGAGAAGAAAGAAUGGCUGUGAGCCACCUGCCAACCGUGGUCCAGGUGAGUGGGGUUUUCGCCCUAAUUUGCCUUCUGAUUUGAAGAGUACGGGGAUGUUUCUUCCCCUGCCCAGGAGCUUCACUCCUACUCCAAUCUCCCCCGCACAGUUGAC